Suricata suricatta (meerkat) is the source of this 649-nucleotide long non-coding RNA. RefSeq lists it as uncharacterized. The transcript has 3 exons. The record is from RefSeq and is a predicted model, not a curated record. Lineage: Eukaryota; Metazoa; Chordata; Mammalia; Carnivora; Herpestidae.
CCACCACCUGGGAGAGGCCUCCCCUCACCCCGCCCCCUGCCAUGGGCACCAGGCUCUUCUGCUGAUGACCUUUGGUCUCCUGGAAGUCACUGGGAACCCGAAAGUCACCCAAAACCCUAGCCGCUACAUCCCAGAGAAGAGACGGAUCAUGGCUCUGAGGUGUGAGCCCAUCUCUGGUCACUUGUACCUUCUGUGCGACCCAUAGAGCCCAGAAAAGGGAGCGGAGUUACUGAUAUCCAUCUGUAACAGCUUCCUUGAGAGAAGGCAGACUUUGUGAAGAACCGAUUCUCAGCUAAGACUCCUGACAGAUCCUACUUGCUCUGAAGACUCUGGCCCUGCCGCUGGGGGGCUCAGGUGGGCAGCCCUGUGCCAGCUGCUCAGCCACAGCCUUCCAGAUGCUUCCUGCCCUCACCCAAACUCGAGGCUUCUCUGCGCCACCCCCUUCCACAGUGGUUACCCACAGCCCUUCCUGCCCAGAGGCUGCAGCAGUUUCCCAGGAGCAAAGGUGACCAAUACAGUGAUCCAACAGUUCUAUCCACUUCUCCGUGCUCAUCAAGAGAAGUGGACUUUUCAUCUGAUUCACCUGUUUCACCCAUUUCCCCACCACCGCCUCCCUCUUUGGCAACCACCAGUUUGUUCUCUGUAGUUA